UAGGGAAUCUUCGGCAAUGGACGAAAGUCUGACCGAGCAACGCCGCGUGAGUGAAGAAGGUUUUCGGAUCGUAAAACUCUGUUGUUAGAGAAGAACAAGGACGUUAGUAACUGAACGUCCCCUGACGGUAUCUAACCAGAAAGCCACGGCUAACUACGUGCCAGCAGCCGCGGUAAUACGUAGGUGGCAAGCGUUGUCCGGAUUUAUUGGGCGUAAAGCGAGCGCAGGCGGUUUCUUAAGUCUGAUGUGAAAGCCCCCGGCUCAACCGGGGAGGGUCAUUGGAAACUGGGGGACUUGAGUGCAGAAGAGGAGAGUGGAAUUCCAUGUGUAGCGGUGAAAUGCGUAGAUAUAUGGGGGAACACCAGUGGCGAAGGCGGCUCUCUGGUCUGUAACUGACGCUGAGGCUCGAAAGCGUGGGGAGCAAACAGG
This 429-nucleotide ribosomal RNA is filed under the name Gemmatimonadota bacterium. RNAcentral's name for it is "Gemmatimonadetes bacterium partial 16S ribosomal RNA". It matches the Rfam family "Bacterial small subunit ribosomal RNA", at positions 355 to 776 of the family's 1533-position model. The record is from RNAcentral. Lineage: Bacteria; Pseudomonadati; Gemmatimonadota.